This is a long non-coding RNA of Carlito syrichta (Philippine tarsier), 523 nucleotides long. RefSeq lists it as uncharacterized. The transcript is spliced from 2 exons. NCBI's taxonomy places the organism in Eukaryota, Metazoa, Chordata, Mammalia, Primates, Tarsiidae. The record is from RefSeq and is a predicted model, not a curated record.
GACAGGUAAACAAGUAAACAAGGAAGAAGAGUAGAAGUGUUCAGAAUGUCCCCCUCAGAAGAGGGGACUCCAUGGUGCUACCCAGGAGUGCUGAGACUCAUCUCCGGCUUCUUUCUCUUCAAAACCUCUGCUGACCUCCCUUCCAGCUCCUCUGGGCUUUUAGGGUAACCCAUGUUCCAACCUACUUGCACCACCACACAGUCUAUAUUAUCUCCAGCUCCCCCCGAGACCAUGUCCUCUCAGGAAAUGGGAUCAACUGUCUUCUACCCAUAUUACUAGCAAUUUGCUCAAUGCUUGGCACAGAGCAGGUGCUCAAGAAACUGGGCAGACGAAUAACACACGAAUGAAGAAAAAUGAAUUUAUAAAGCCAGAUCUGGUUCAUAUGUCAUUUGCUGUCAUGGCAACCUAGGAUAAGUCUAUUUGUUACUCUUGGGACUAUUUUAAUCAUCUGUUUUUCACUGUAUGUGCAAGUGUUAACUCUGUUAAAAAGGUAAACUGAGGCACAAUAAAGUUUUAAAGAGAC